RNAcentral lists this long non-coding RNA (247 nucleotides) under Gossypium barbadense (sea-island cotton). Its description in RNAcentral is "long non-coding RNA (GBAR_LNC005874)". Lineage: Eukaryota; Viridiplantae; Streptophyta; Magnoliopsida; Malvales; Malvaceae. The record is from RNAcentral.
AAUUGUUUUUUUAUUAAAUUAUAUUUAAUAAUUAUUAUGUUAAAAUAUGGUUAAACUAUUUAUUAUUUUUAUUAAAUUAUUUUCAAUAAUAAUCUUAUUAAAAUUUAAUAACCAUAACAAUAAUCAUCUACCUUAAAAAAAAUCUGCUAAGGGUAUUCUGGUCAUUUUAGUUUUUUUUCCUUAUGCUAUUACAACAUCAUUCUAUUCAACCAAACACAAUAAUAUUAUUACAGUUCUAUUCCAUUCC